RNAcentral lists this ribosomal RNA (253 nucleotides) under uncultured bacterium. RNAcentral's name for it is "partial 16S ribosomal RNA". It matches the Rfam family "Bacterial small subunit ribosomal RNA", at positions 524 to 776 of the family's 1533-position model. The record is from RNAcentral.
UACGGGGGGGGCAAGCGUUGUUCGGAAUUACUGGGCGUAAAGGGCUCGUAGGCGGCCAACUAAGUCAGACGUGAAAUCCCUCAGCUCAACUGGGGAACUGCGUCUGAUACUAGAUGGCUCGAGUGCAGGAGAGUAACGCGGAAUUCCAGGUGUAGCGGUGAAAUGCGUAGAUAUCUGGAGGAACACCGGUGGCGAAGGCGGCGUUCUGGACUGCAACUGACACUGAGGAACGAAAGCCAGGGGAGCAAACGGG